Molecule: transfer RNA, 73 nt
Filed under: Chloroflexota bacterium
Lineage: Bacteria; Bacillati; Chloroflexota
Also listed under: 1 other name
Description: Chloroflexi bacterium tRNA-His
Rfam family: tRNA
About the family: Transfer RNA (tRNA) molecules are approximately 80 nucleotides in length. Their secondary structure includes four short double-helical elements and three loops (D, anti-codon, and T loops).
Source: RNAcentral
GUGGGCGUAGCUCAAUGGGCAGAGCGCCUGUCUGUGGAACAGGUGGUUGAGGGUUCAAGUCCCUUCGCCCACC